AUUAUAGAUUUGUCGAUUUUGAAGGAGUUAAUAGUUUAUUUGAGUUAAUGUAAAAAAAUUAUUUAUAAUAAACUGUUAGAAAUGAAAAGUUAUUCGGCUUUAAAGGUAUCUAGUUUUUAAAGAAAUAAAUUUAAUUUAUUAAUAUAGGCAGAAAUUUAAUUGUUAAAAUGUUCUGUAAAUUAUUAAAAGUAAUUCAUGGGAUAAGCUGUGAAUUAAAGCCUUAAAAUAAAUUAAUAAUUUGUAAUAAAUGUAUGUUUAGGAAUAGCAACCGUUAAUAAAUUUGUUAUAAUUUAUUUUAUUAAUAUAUUAUUUAGUUAUUAUUUAAGUAUUUAUUUAAAUAUUAAUUUUAAUUUUAAAAAUUAAGCAAUAAUGAUAAAAUUAGUAUAAAAUGUUGUAUGAGUAAAUUGAGCGGAAAGAUUAAGUUAAAGAACUGAAUAUUCGCCUGUUUAACAAAAACAUGUCUUUUUGAAUUUAGUUUAAAGUCUAGCCUGCCCACUGAUUGUUUUAAAUGGCCGCAGUAUAUUAACUGUGCAAAGGUAGCAUAAUCAUUAGUCUUUUAAUUGAAGGCUUGUAUGAAUGGCUGAACGAGAUAUUAACUGUUUCAAUUUAAAUUUUAGAAUUUUAUUUUUUAGUCAAAAAG
RNAcentral lists this long non-coding RNA (640 nucleotides) under Hermetia illucens (black soldier fly). Its description in RNAcentral is "uncharacterized LOC119653861, transcript variant X2". The stretch from base 434 to 594 matches the Rfam family "Archaeal large subunit ribosomal RNA", at positions 1883 to 2090 of the family's 2987-position model. Lineage: Eukaryota; Metazoa; Arthropoda; Insecta; Diptera; Stratiomyidae. The record is from RNAcentral.